GGUCAUGAGUGCCAGCAUCAAGCCCCGGCUUGCUGGCCGGCAACCCUCCAGCUCGCGGUGGGGUGCCCCGGGUGAGGACCAGGCAGGUGCCAACCGGCACCGGCAAGCGCGGGCC
Molecule: non-coding RNA, 115 nt
Filed under: Citricoccus muralis
Lineage: Bacteria; Bacillati; Actinomycetota; Actinomycetes; Micrococcales; Micrococcaceae
Also listed under: 1 other name
Description: SAM (S-adenosyl methionine) riboswitch aptamer
Rfam family: SAM (S-adenosyl methionine) riboswitch aptamer
About the family: SAM-IV is a mRNA element that regulates gene expression via direct sensing of S-adenosylmethionine (SAM or AdoMet).
Source: Rfam by way of RNAcentral